GGGGGAUCUUGGUUUGGUUUUAGGGGUACAGUGACCAGGUUACGAUGGAUUUCUCAAGUGAGAACCUCGUAGCUGGGUCACAAUAUCUGUAUGACUCCA
Molecule: microRNA precursor, 99 nt
Filed under: Loxodonta africana (African savanna elephant)
Lineage: Eukaryota; Metazoa; Chordata; Mammalia; Proboscidea; Elephantidae
Description: miRNA (ENSLAFG00000030382.1)
Source: RNAcentral